This 341-nucleotide ribosomal RNA is filed under the name Enterobacter sp. FC2P. RNAcentral's name for it is "bacterial SSU rRNA". It matches the Rfam family "Bacterial small subunit ribosomal RNA", at positions 16 to 356 of the family's 1533-position model. Lineage: Bacteria; Pseudomonadati; Pseudomonadota; Gammaproteobacteria; Enterobacterales; Enterobacteriaceae. The record is from RNAcentral.
UUUUUGGCUCAGAACGAACGCUGGCGGCAGGCUUAACACAUGCAAGUCGAGCGGUAGCACAGGGAGCUUGCUCUCGGGUGACGAGCGGCGGACGGGUGAGUAAUGUCUGGGAAACUGCCUGAUGGAGGGGGAUAACUACUGGAAACGGUAGCUAAUACCGCAUAACGUCGCAAGACCAAAGAGGGGGACCUUCGGGCCUCUUGCCAUCAGAUGUGCCCAGAUGGGAUUAGCUAGUAGGUGGGUAACGGCUCACCUAGGCGACGAUCCCUAGCUGGUCUGAGAGGAUGACCAGCCACACUGGAACUGAGACACGGUCCANANUCCUACGGGAGGCAGCAGUG